CCGCGCUGGUCCCAAAGAGGAGCAUGAGCUCAGGGUUUGUUUCCGUCACCUGGAAGGCAAUCGUCAGAGCCUGCCAUGUGUGCAUGUGGAUGUCUCUGUGUAUUUUGAGAACACUUUUAAAAGGGAAGCAGCCAAAGUAUUUUUAUUGCUCAGCAGGCACUGUUUCAUGUUGGAGUGUUGGAAAGAAACAGAAGAGAAAGAAAAGAGAGGGAGGAGAAGAUUUAAGACCAGCGCACAGAUUGAAAUGGUUAAUGCGUUCUCGGGCUGGAGAACAAGCGCUCUGAGUACUGAAGACUCCUCCCAUCUCCACGUCUCCAAAUGUCCCCACGUAAAUUCCAGGAUCCACACAUCAGAGGCGCCUGCCACCGAGCUGGGCGUGAACUCUGAAGACCAGGUACGCCACUGGGGAUAUUUGCCCAGACGAGAAGUGCAGGGGUGAACCAGGUCUGAAUAUCACCAAGUCCAGAUCGGGACCUGCCGACCUCUUACUGCUGCCUCCUCCAAAUCCUGCAAAAGCCCCACACAUGGGAGAUGCUGAACAAGACUGUGAGAAUGAUAACGAAGGAUACAGAGGUAAGUGUGGGAAAUGUUGCCUUUGAGACCCCUGUGACACAUCCUGGUGGAAAUGUCAAUG
RNAcentral lists this long non-coding RNA (634 nucleotides) under Callithrix jacchus (white-tufted-ear marmoset). RNAcentral's name for it is "lncRNA (ENSCJAG00000080839.1)". The record is from RNAcentral. Lineage: Eukaryota; Metazoa; Chordata; Mammalia; Primates; Cebidae.